Molecule: long non-coding RNA, 227 nt
Filed under: Setaria italica (foxtail millet)
Lineage: Eukaryota; Viridiplantae; Streptophyta; Magnoliopsida; Poales; Poaceae
Description: long non-coding RNA (SITA_LNC002829)
Source: RNAcentral
GUUUUCAUAGCCAAGACCCAAUUCUCUAAGAUAUUUCUUGGCCUCAUCAUAUGAUUUUGGCAACUCACUCUGAGGGUAUCCUUCUGACAUCAACUUGAUCAUCGCAGAAAAUGCUGUAUUGCCAAUUCGAUAAUGAGACUUGAUAUACAACAUCCUCACCAAAAAAGAGAAUUUUGAGUGCCUAGAUCCUGGGCUAAGUGACUUCUUCGCAUCUUCAAGGACUCUUG